Molecule: RNA transcript, 2479 nt
Organism: Prosopis cineraria
Lineage: Eukaryota; Viridiplantae; Streptophyta; Magnoliopsida; Fabales; Fabaceae
Exons: 9
Source: RefSeq, a predicted model, not a curated record
UCUAUUUUCCUCCAAAGUCGCUGAAUUGGAGUAGGUGAAGCAGGGGAACACUGCGACAUUUCGAAAACUUGAGAUAUGGAAGGCCAUGACUCGGAUGAUGCAGCGCUUCCCAACAUGACGACCAUUUCUUGGCACAAUUUCGGCGACGACCCUGAAAAGCCUGAAUUGUGCAUCUCCGUCAUUGAGAAUAUGAAGGAAGACUAUGGCCUUUUCGUCUGGCCUUGCAGUAUAGUCUUAGCCGAGUAUGUUUGGCAACAAAGGCAACGGUUUGCUGGAACUACUGUUGUUGAGCUUGGCGCUGGAACUUCCUUGCCUGGCUUGGUUACUGCUAAAGUGGGAGCUGAUGUCACCCUUACAGAUGACUCCAGUAGAUUAGAGGUACUUGACAACAUGCGUAAAGUUUGUGCCUUGAAUAAUCUUAAGUGCAAUGUUCUGGGAUUGACAUGGGGAGUGUGGGAUUCAUUCAUAUUCCGUUUACAGCCCAAAUUUAUUCUUGGGGCUGAUGUUUUGUAUGACUCAAAUGCCUUUGAUGACCUCUUUGCUACCGUGACAUUCCUGCUUCAAAAAUCUCCUGGCUCAGUUUUUAUAACAUCAUAUCAUAAUCGGAGUGGGCAUCACCUUAUUGAGUUUUUAAUGGUAAAAUGGGGCCUGAAGUGUGUCAAGCUUCUUGAUGGGUUUUCUUUCCUACCACCCUGCAAGGCAUCUAUGCUAAGCGAAUUUAUUUGGUGACACAAUGGCAUUACUGUUGUUAUACUGGUGUGUGCUGCUUUAAAGCUUCAUAUCUAUAAUAUCGAGUGGUGCAGUUAACCACAGAUGUCAACAAAUUUGUACCUGUGCUACUGUCAAUUGGUUCAGAAUCUUCUAACUAUUUUUGAGCAGACAACUUUAAAUCAUUCUUUUUUGCAAUAAAAAUGGUUUUGUCCUCUGUGAUAUUUCAGCCUGAUUUCCUUAUAAACACUUCUCCCUCAGUUUUUCUUAGGAGGAGGGAUGGUGGUGGUUAUGAAAAAAGGAGAAAAAAGCAUGGAUGCUUGAACACCCACCACAUCUUUAGGUUUCUGGAUCGUAUUGUUCACUUUCAAGCCAUGUUUCCUUAGUUGGAGUGGAAGUGUUUAUAAGGAAAUCAGGCUGAAAUAUCACAGAGGACAAAACCAUUUUUAUUGCAAAAAAGAAUGAUUUAAAGUUGUCUGCUCAAAAAUAGUUUUUCUUAGGAGGAGGGAUGGUGGUGGUUAUGAAAAAAGGAGAAAAGAGCAUGGAUGCUUGAACACCCACCACAUCUUUAGGUUUCUGAAUCGUAUUGUUCACUUUCAAGCCAUGUUUCCUUAGUUGGAGUAGUUUAAUUCAGUCGAGGUUAUAAAAUGUUAUGCAUAUGACAACAUUGAAGAGGUUCUUUAAUUUAAUAAUGUCCUUUGUUCUCUCAGAUGGUAAUGAGAUCAUUAGAAUUUUGUUCUCUUGGAUUAAGAUGCAAAUCAUAUCUUCUCUGGUAGUUACAAGGAUGUGUUACCAGAAAUCUUGAGCUCAUAAUUUUGCGAAGAAACUCAUGGCACGGAUAAGAAGAGUAUGUAUCUUAGUUAGCACUUCCAGUGGCCAGGCAUAUUUUACCUUCAAUUCAUAGAUUAACUCUUAAAGAUCUUGAGCUUCAUUACAAUCAGAUAAAAAUCCUUUAUCAGUAUCAUCAGAUAAGCAAUUUCUUGACAUCAGGUAUGAUCUACAGCUUUCAUACCUCAUUAUUUUCAAAUUCGUAGCUUACCCUGAAUUGGACUGAGCGUUAAGAUAGACAUCCUAGUUGACAACCCUGCAGUCCUUCCUAAUCUCUUGCCCACCAUUGAUGCUACUCAUUUUGAUCAUUGAAUUGGCAAAAGCUUUGAAGAAGGCCUCUCGUGAGGUAGCAAACUCAGACACCAAGUCCUUGGUCUUUGGGGUAUCAAGCAGAGCUUGGUCAGAAGAAAAUAAACUCUUCCCUUGGAGGAUUGCCUUGAAAUAUAUGUUAUCAAAAGUAGUUGAAGAAGGGUCUAUGGUGGUGCCAGUAUUCUUUGCUUGAUUUUUCAGAGGACAAAUUGACUUCAAUUUUGCAGCGAAGGAUGGAUUUAAUGAAGGAUCCACAUCGUGUGUAGCAUUGAAAUUUUGAAUUCUGUUCUGGAAGGAUGAGCAAUGAGAGAAACCUAAAGUAUGUCCUCCUACAUUGAGUCAAAAUAUAUAUUACUCGAAACACUUUUCAGAUGUAUACUGGAAUAUUAUUCAAAGAAAAAAGAUAUAUACUGGAAUAGGAUAUGCUUAGAUGAAGAAGUAUUGGCAAUUUGGAUCUUUAGCGUUGCUUGCCUGACAAGGUGACCAGAUCCUCGGUUGACAGACCUCUUUGAGAGAAGCUAUGCUGCAACUGUGAUAUGUUGAAGGUUGGUGCUGGUAAUUGUCUGGUUUCACUGGCCAUAGAUGUUCUGCCAUCCUUUCUUCCUUUAGGCACAUCCCAACCUGGACCUCCAGA